UAGGAAAACGAUAAACCUACUAGCAUGCUCGUCUAAGCGCAAUUAAUAAACAAAUAUUAACAAGCAAAGACGUGCAAAAGCAGGUAAAGAGCAUAAGGGAUUAACAACCACGACAUGCAAAGAACAUAAUUAAAGAAUUAAAAAUUCUUCGUGACCCAUUCGUGGAAACCCAACAUCUAUUCUAUUUUAAAAGAAAAUAAAAUAAAUAAAAAUGGACAAAAAAAUGCCCAAAACCGCCUAAACAGGCUGAAAAAACGAACCAGCCCUUGCUUAGGCCCAAAACACGCGGCCCAGCCGCACAGGCCCGUCCAGCAGCUGCCAAAACCGUGAUUGGGCCAAAAAAACACCCAGCGCACAGGCCCAGCCCGGGCAAUAGGCCCAAACUCGCGGUCAA
RNAcentral lists this long non-coding RNA (394 nucleotides) under Salvia miltiorrhiza (redroot sage). RNAcentral's name for it is "long non-coding RNA (SMIL_LNC009813)". The record is from RNAcentral. Lineage: Eukaryota; Viridiplantae; Streptophyta; Magnoliopsida; Lamiales; Lamiaceae.